GAAGAGUCCCCUGGUCCCAGAGAUGGAGCUGAGGCCCCCUUGGCCUUGUCCCUCCUGUGAGCCUCCAGCCCACCCACCCGUCGGCCCCUGUGAGACCUGCUCAGGGGCCAUGCCGGUCCCCUCGGUGGCCUCCUGCCGGCUGCCCUGUCUGGAGGGACAGCCCCAUCAGGCAGGGCUCCGGCUCCACCCGAGCCCCCCAGAGAUCACCAAGACGCGCCCUUGGAGCCACUCGGGGAGGAAAUCCAACAAGGACACUAACUGGACAUAAAGGGAAGGGGACGUCGGGUGCGAUCGUCCCGGUGGACGCUGGGGCUAUGGGUUCUGUGGCUGGACACCUUACAAUCCCAGGGCGCAGCCCCCAGGGCCACCGGAUGGAGCAGUGGCCUUUCCCACACCGGGGCUCCCUCUGACCCUCCUCUGCCCAUAGCUGUACCCAGCAGAUGUCCCCAGACUUCGAUCCAGUGACAAAGGACUUGUGUCACACACACAGUGUCUGCACGUGUGCCCGUGAGUCGCCUGCGCGAGAACCGAGCUGUGGCACAUGUGGCCUCUGGACUUCAUAUUUUCAGAGGAAUUUUUGUCCCUUGUCCUGGUGAUGUGACAGCACCUGGUGGGGUCUCCCUUCUGCAGAUGGCUUCUCCCACCCAACACAGACGCGUCCCUGCAAUGAACCGGAGUGUGCAGAGAGAACAUGUGGUCAGUCUGUGAUCACCGUGGAGUAGUAUUCAGCCACGAAGAAGCAGAUCUAUUGGCAACAGCUUGGAGAUCCCCGGAGGAUGUUAUUGUGGUCAGUGAAAUAAGCCGAGCCCAGAAGGACCAAGGACACAGGGGCUCCUCUGUCCUGGGAUGAGAGCAUCAGGGAGCACAAUGGCGGCUGGGGAGAGGCUGGAUCUCCAAGUUGGCGCCGACAGGAGGAAUAAAUCCAAGCUGCUCGCGAGGAGCCUAACGGCUCUGUUAAUAAUGCAUUGCACACUGAGAACCGCUCGGAGAAUAGGCUUUAAGUGUUCUCCGUGCAGAGGGAUGACAAGUGUGUGGGGUAACGCAUACAUUAAUUAGCGCCAUCCAGCCUCUCCGCCCAGAUGCGUAUUUCAAAACGUCUCGAGAAACUCACGAUAAAUAUGUGCCUUUUAAAAAUCUGCCCGUUAAGACAAAAAUA
RNAcentral lists this long non-coding RNA (1156 nucleotides) under Marmota monax (woodchuck). The record is from RNAcentral. Lineage: Eukaryota; Metazoa; Chordata; Mammalia; Rodentia; Sciuridae.